GACGAACGCUGGCGGCGUGCCUAAUACAUGCAAGUCGUGCGGACCUUUUAAAAGCUUGCUUUUAAAAGGUUAGCGGCGGACGGGUGAGUAACACGUGGGCAACUUGCCUGUAAGACUGGGAUAACGCCGGGAAACCGGGGCUAAUACCAGAUCGUUUUUUCCUCCGCAUGGAGGAAAAAGGAAAGGCGGCUUCGGCUGCCACUUACAGAUGGGCCCGCGGCGCAUUAGCUAGUUGGCGGGGUAACGGCCCACCAAGGCAACGAUGCGUAGCCGACCUGAGAGGGUGAUCGGCCACAUUGGGACUGAGACACGGCCCAAACUCCUACGGGAGGCAGCAGUAGGGAAUCUUCCGCAAUGGACGAAAGUCUGACGGAGCAACGCCGCGUGAGUGAAGAAGGCCUUCGGGUCGUAAAACUCUGUUGCCGGGGAAGAACAAGUGCCGUUCGAACAGGGCGGCGCCUUGACGGUACCCGGCCAGAAAGCCACGGCUAACUACGUG
RNAcentral lists this ribosomal RNA (499 nucleotides) under uncultured bacterium. RNAcentral's name for it is "partial 16S ribosomal RNA". It matches the Rfam family "Bacterial small subunit ribosomal RNA", at positions 28 to 507 of the family's 1533-position model. The record is from RNAcentral.